This 31-nucleotide non-coding RNA is filed under the name Rattus norvegicus (Norway rat). Lineage: Eukaryota; Metazoa; Chordata; Mammalia; Rodentia; Muridae. The record is from RNAcentral.
GCUGGUCUACAGAAUGGUGUAUAUUGGACAA